GGGGUUGUGGCUCAGUGGUAGAGCGCUCGCCUAGCAUGUGUGAGGCACUGGGUUUGAUUCUCAGCAUCACAU
This 72-nucleotide transfer RNA is filed under the name Ictidomys tridecemlineatus (thirteen-lined ground squirrel). RNAcentral describes it as "Spermophilus tridecemlineatus (thirteen-lined ground squirrel) tRNA". It matches the Rfam family "tRNA". From Rfam's summary of the family: Transfer RNA (tRNA) molecules are approximately 80 nucleotides in length. Their secondary structure includes four short double-helical elements and three loops (D, anti-codon, and T loops). Further hydrogen bonds mediate the characteristic L-shaped molecular structure. tRNAs have two regions of fundamental functional importance: the anti-codon, which is responsible for specific mRNA codon recognition, and the 3' end, to which the tRNAs corresponding amino acid is attached (by aminoacyl-tRNA synthetases). tRNAs cope with the degeneracy of the genetic code in two manners: having more than one tRNA (with a specific anti-codon) for a particular amino acid; and 'wobble' base-pairing, i.e. permitting non-standard base-pairing at the 3rd anti-codon position. Lineage: Eukaryota; Metazoa; Chordata; Mammalia; Rodentia; Sciuridae. The record is from Rfam by way of RNAcentral.